This 392-nucleotide long non-coding RNA is filed under the name Vigna radiata. RNAcentral describes it as "long non-coding RNA (VRAD_LNC001295)". The record is from RNAcentral. Lineage: Eukaryota; Viridiplantae; Streptophyta; Magnoliopsida; Fabales; Fabaceae.
AUAUUUCUAAUUUUAAUAAAAUAAAAUACAGAAAAAAAAAUGCAAUGGAUGGUGGAGACAUGUAUCGAUGAAAGAAUGAGAAAGAUGAAUAUGAUUGAAGGAGAUGAUGAGAAAAGUAUUGAUGAAGGAUAUGUGUAUGUAUGAAUGAAGUAAAUAAGUAUAGAUGAAGACGGUGAGUACAGUAAAAAAGAUAAGUGUGGAUGAAAAUGAUGAACAGAGAUAAAGAAGAUGAGUGUUUGUGAAAAUGAAGAAAGUGGGAAGAUUUAUGAGUCUUUAUGGAAAAUAUUUAUAUAUAAAGCGACAUAUGAGAAGAUUUGUUCAUAUUUAAAUUUAAACUUUUAGAUUAAAAUAAUUUAUAACUUUGUUUCGUUGUCAUGCACAAAUUCAUAACA